GCUAGGCAUGGUGGUGCAUGCCUGUAAUCCCAGCUACUCAGGAGACUGUGGCAGGAGGAUCACGAGUUAGAGGCUAGCCUUGCAAUUUAGUGAGAGCCUGUCUCAA
RNAcentral lists this small RNA (106 nucleotides) under Marmota monax (woodchuck). The record is from RNAcentral. Lineage: Eukaryota; Metazoa; Chordata; Mammalia; Rodentia; Sciuridae.